RNAcentral lists this unclassified non-coding RNA (295 nucleotides) under Chytridiomycota sp. Its description in RNAcentral is "partial contains small subunit ribosomal RNA, internal transcribed spacer 1, and 5.8S ribosomal RNA". The stretch from base 1 to 47 matches the Rfam family "Eukaryotic small subunit ribosomal RNA", at positions 1785 to 1831 of the family's 1831-position model. Lineage: Eukaryota; Fungi; Chytridiomycota. The record is from RNAcentral.
AAAGUCGUAACAAGGUAACCGUAGGUGAACCUGCGGUUGGAUCAUUAAAAAAACUGAAGUUUAGUACUUCUCCCUGCUCUUUUUUGAGAGUAGGUCAACCCCUGUGAAAUGAAAUUGUACCUGGUAGGAACUUUUUACUAGUUUACUAGUGUGCUACUGUAUUACUACUGUAUUAGUUUACUACUGUGCUAGUUAAAAAGUUAACCUACCACAUUUUUUAAACUAAACUUUAAUACUGACUGAAUAAAAAUGACCCAAUGAGAAACAACUUUUGACAACGGAUCUCUUGGCUCUC